This 461-nucleotide ribosomal RNA is filed under the name uncultured bacterium. Its description in RNAcentral is "bacterial SSU rRNA". It matches the Rfam family "Bacterial small subunit ribosomal RNA", at positions 338 to 795 of the family's 1533-position model. The record is from RNAcentral.
CCUACGGGUGGCAGCAGUGGGGAAUAUUGGACAAUGGGCGCAAGCCUGAUCCAGCAAUGCCGCGUGAGUGAUGAAGGCCUUCGGGUUGUAAAGCUCUGUCGGGAGGGACGAAAAAGUCAGGGUAACGCCUGAUAUUGACGGUACCUCCAAAGGAAGCACCGGCUAACUCUGUGCCAGCAGCCGCGGUAAUACAGAGGGUGCAAGCGUUGUUCGGAAUUACUGGGCGUAAAGCGCGUGUAGGCGGCUUCGUUAGUCGGAUGUGAAAGCCCUCGGCUCAACCGAGGAAGUGCAUCCGAUACUGCGAUGCUUGAGUGUUGGAGGGGGUGGCGGAAUUCCCGGUGUAGAGGUGAAAUUCGUAGAUAUCGGGAGGAACACCUGUGGCGAAGGCGGCCACCUGGACAACAACUGACGCUGAGACGCGAAAGCGUGGGUAGCAAACAGGAUUAGAUACCCCAGUAGUC